GAUGAAGAACGCAGCGAAAUGCGAUACGUAAUGUGAAUUGCAAAUUCAGUGAAUCAUCGAGUCUUUGAACGCACAUUGCGCCCCCUGGUAUUCCGGGGGGCAUGCCUGUCCGAGCGUCAUUGCUGCCCUCAAGCACGGCUUGUGUGUUGGGCCCCGUCCUCCGAUCCCGGGGGACGGGCCCGAAAGGCAGCGGCGGCACCGCGUCCGGUCCUCGAGCGUAUGGGGCUUUGUCACCCGCUCUGUAGGCCCGGCCGGCGCUUGCCGAUCAACCCAAAUUUUUUAUCCAGGUUGACCUCGGAUCAGGUAGGGAUACCCGCUGAACUUAAGCAUAUCAGUAAGCGGAGGA
RNAcentral lists this unclassified non-coding RNA (346 nucleotides) under soil metagenome. Its description in RNAcentral is "partial contains 5.8S ribosomal RNA, internal transcribed spacer 2, and large subunit ribosomal RNA". The stretch from base 1 to 119 matches the Rfam family "5.8S ribosomal RNA", at positions 35 to 154 of the family's 154-position model. The record is from RNAcentral.